UGUCAGUGUGCCCCUGCUGGGGAGUGCCUCCCAGUUAGGCUGCUCGGGGGUCAGGGGUCAGGGACCCACUUGAGGAGGCAGUCUGCCCGUUCUCAGAUCUCCAGCUGUGUGCUGGGAGAUCUCUCUUCAAAGCUUUCAGACAGGGACAUUUAAGUCUGCAGAGGUUACUGCUGUCUUUUUGUGUGUGCCCUGCCCCCAGAGGUGGAGCCUACAGAGGCAGGCAGGCCUCCUUGAGCUGUGGUGGGCUCCACCCAGUUUGAGCUUCCAGGCUGCUUUGUUUACCUAAUGAAGCCUGGGCAAUGGCGGGCGCCCCUCCCCCAGCCUCGCUGCCGCCUUGCAGUUUGAUCUCAGACUGCUGUGCUAGCAAUCAGCGAGACUCCGUGGGCGUAGGACCCUCCGAGCCAGGUGCGGGAUAUAGUCUCGUGGGGCGCUGUUUUUUAAGCCGGUUGGAAAAGCACAGUAUUCGGGUGGGAGUGACCCGAUUUUCCAGAUGCGUCCGUCACCCCUUUCUUUGACUCGGAAAGGGAACUCCCUGACCCCUUGCGCUUCCCAAGUGAGGCAAUGCCUCGCCCUGCUUCGGCUCGCGCACGGUGCGUGUACCCACUGACCUGUGCCCACUGUCUGGCACUCCCUAGUGAGAUGAACCCGGUACCUCAGAUGGAAAUGCAGAAAUCACCCUUCUUCUGCGUCGUUCACGCUGGGAGCUGUAGACCGGAGCUGUUCCAAUUCGGCCAUCUUGGCUCCUCCCCUGGACUCUUUAUUUCUUAAGGGUGAGGAAAGUGAGGCUUGGAGAGACUAAGUAACUUGCCCAGUGUCACAAAACUAGAAGGCAGCAGAGCCAGUAUUUGAACCCAGAUCUGUCGACUGUCAAGCCCAUAUUCUAUUAUACACAGUGUUUUUACCUGAAAACACAAAAUUACAUAUUUAGAAGAAUUGUAUAAAUAAACAGUUUUAUAUACAUAUGCAUAUUUAUCCAGUUUGUAUUACUGGAGCAAUUAAGAGCAAGAUAAUCUUUGCUCUGUUCUAAUUGUGCACUUGGCUAAACUCAAAUACCAAAAUGCAGAAAUUACUAACCUUCCUCUGUAUUUUAAAUUAUACUUUAGGGAGUGGGUGGAAGGUUUCCUUUUU
This 1128-nucleotide long non-coding RNA is filed under the name Homo sapiens (human). RNAcentral's name for it is "HSALNT0091189". The record is from RNAcentral. Lineage: Eukaryota; Metazoa; Chordata; Mammalia; Primates; Hominidae.